This 190-nucleotide ribosomal RNA is filed under the name Staphylococcus hominis. RNAcentral describes it as "partial 16S ribosomal RNA". It matches the Rfam family "Bacterial small subunit ribosomal RNA", at positions 1 to 185 of the family's 1533-position model. The record is from RNAcentral. Lineage: Bacteria; Bacillati; Bacillota; Bacilli; Caryophanales; Staphylococcaceae.
UUUAUGGAGAGUUUGAUCCUGGCUCAGGAUGAACGCUGGCGGCGUGCCUAAUACAUGCAAGUUGAGCGAACAGACGAGGAGCUUGCUCCUUUGACGUUAGCGGCGGACGGGUGAGUAACACGUGGGUAACCUACCUAUAAGACUGGGAUAACUUCGGGAAACCGGAGCUAAUACCGGAUAAUAUUUCGAA